CCUACGGGUGGCAGCAGUGAGGAAUAUUGGUCAAUGGACGAGAGUCUGAACCAGCCAAGUAGCGUGAAGGAUGACUGCCCUAUGGGUUGUAAACUUCUUUUAUAUGGGAAUAAAAUGUUCCACGUGUGGGAUUUUGUAUGUACCAUAUGAAUAAGGAUCGGCUAACUCCGUGCCAGCAGCCGCGGUAAUACGGAGGAUCCGAGCGUUAUCCGGAUUUAUUGGGUUUAAAGGGAGCGUAGGUGGAUUGUUAAGUCAGUUGUGAAAGUUUGCGGCUCAACCGUAAAAUUGCAGUUGAAACUGGCAGUCUUGAGUACAGUAGAGGUGGGCGGAAUUCGUGGUGUAGCGGUGAAAUGCUUAGAUAUCACGAAGAACUCCGAUUGCGAAGGCAGUUCACUGGACUGCAACUGACACUGAGGCUCGAAAGUGUGGGUAUCAAACAGUAUUAGAUACCCGUGUAGUC
RNAcentral lists this ribosomal RNA (460 nucleotides) under uncultured bacterium. RNAcentral's name for it is "partial 16S ribosomal RNA". It matches the Rfam family "Bacterial small subunit ribosomal RNA", at positions 338 to 795 of the family's 1533-position model. The record is from RNAcentral.